GCCGGUGUAGCUCAGUGGCAGAGCAGCUGAUUCGUAAUCAGCAGGUCGUGGGUUCGAGUCCCACCGCCGGCU
This 72-nucleotide transfer RNA is filed under the name Candidatus Rokubacteria bacterium CSP1-6. Its description in RNAcentral is "tRNA-Thr". It matches the Rfam family "tRNA". Rfam says of the family: Transfer RNA (tRNA) molecules are approximately 80 nucleotides in length. Their secondary structure includes four short double-helical elements and three loops (D, anti-codon, and T loops). Further hydrogen bonds mediate the characteristic L-shaped molecular structure. tRNAs have two regions of fundamental functional importance: the anti-codon, which is responsible for specific mRNA codon recognition, and the 3' end, to which the tRNAs corresponding amino acid is attached (by aminoacyl-tRNA synthetases). tRNAs cope with the degeneracy of the genetic code in two manners: having more than one tRNA (with a specific anti-codon) for a particular amino acid; and 'wobble' base-pairing, i.e. permitting non-standard base-pairing at the 3rd anti-codon position. Lineage: Bacteria; Candidatus Rokuibacteriota. The record is from RNAcentral.